UUCUAAUGCGGAGGUUAUGGAUUGGAGUCUCAUUUAGCGUAAUUUGCUUGCAAUUUAUUUCAGGUCUUGGGCGUUUGAAACUGCUUAAAAAUGCAUAAAACGAGUUAAAACAUGGAAAAGAAAAGUCCUGGAACGUGUUGGAGAGCUCGGGAGCUGAAACAGAGUUAAAAUACUGGAAAAAUAGUUUCUGGCGGCCCGCGAUACAAGCAAGAGUGUCUCUCGCGGGUGGCGAGAGACUUAUAGAUUUGAAGACGUCAUUGAGCCGGUGGCACCCCGCGACCCAUUCCCAUAUCUCUCUCGCGGGUCGCGAGAGAGUGUUUUCGCCAGAAUUCUUCGAGUUGGGCAAGGGUUUCAGCUGCAGAUCAUAUAAAACAUAUUAAACAUUCAAAAAACCCUAACUUGGCGAAUUAGCAAUCUUUUGGGCGAACUUGGAGCUGAGUUUGAAGCGUUUUUGAGCAUUCGAAGCUGCCGGUUGAAGGUUGGAAGUUCAGAGAAUCAUUCGGGUCGUCUACCUAACAUCCGGGUGUUUUCGCUUGUGUUUCUUUCUCUUUGACUAUGCUUUGUUUCUCUAAAAAUACUUUGUUUAUGCUUGGUUCCAUGAAUGUGAUCGGCUAGAUUUAAUUAACUACCUAGACAAGAUGAAUGGUUGCAUAAAGUUUGGAUUUUUAUUAUGAAUUUAUAAUAUUUAUGGAUUUAUU
RNAcentral lists this long non-coding RNA (698 nucleotides) under Helianthus annuus (common sunflower). RNAcentral's name for it is "hypothetical non coding rna". The record is from RNAcentral. Lineage: Eukaryota; Viridiplantae; Streptophyta; Magnoliopsida; Asterales; Asteraceae.